GAUGAACGCUGGCGGCGUGCCUAAUACAUGCAAGUCGAGCGAACGGACGAGAAGCUUGCUUCUCUGAUGUUAGCGGCGGACGGGUGAGUAACACGUGGAUAACCUACCUAUAUGACUGGGAUAACUUCGGGAAACCGUAGCUAAUACCGGCUAAUAUUUUGAACCGCAUGGUUCAAAAGUGAAAGACGGUCUUGCUGUCACUUAUAGAUGGAUCCGCGCUGCAUUAGCUAGUUGGUAAGGUAACGGCUUACCAAGGCGACGAUGCAUAGCUGACCUGAGAGGGUGAUCGGCCACACUGGAACUGAGACACGGUCCAGACUCCUACGGGAGGCAGCAGUAGGGAAUCUUGCGCAAUGGGCGAAAGCCUGACGGAGCAACGCCGCGUGAGUGAUGAAGGUCUUCGGAUCGUAAAACUCUGUUAUUAGGGAAGAACAUAUGUGUAAGUAACUGUGCACAUCUUGACGGUACCUAAUCAGAAAGCCACGGCUAACUACGUG
Molecule: ribosomal RNA, 497 nt
Filed under: uncultured bacterium
Lineage: Bacteria
Description: partial 16S ribosomal RNA
Rfam family: Bacterial small subunit ribosomal RNA
Source: RNAcentral